AUUGAACGCUGGCGGCAGGCCUAACACAUGCAAGUCGAACGGCAGCACAGAAGAGCUUGCUCUUUGGGUGGCGAGUGGCGGACGGGUGAGUAAUGUCUGGGAAACUGCCCGAUGGAGGGGGAUAACUACUGGAAACGGUAGCUAAUACCGCAUAACGUCGCGAGACCAAAGUGGGGGACCUUCGGGCCUCACACCAUCGGAUGUGCCCAGAUGGGAUUAGCUAGUAGGUGGGGUAAUGGCUCACCUAGGCGACGAUCCCUAGCUGGUCUGAGAGGAUGACCAGCCGCACUGGAACAGAGACACGGUCCAGACUCCUACGGGAGGCAGCAGUGGGGAAUAUUGCACAAUGGGCGCAAGCCUGAUGCAGCCAUGCCGCGUGUAUGAAGAAGGCCUUCGGGUUGUAAAGUACUUUCAGCGGGGAGGAAGGCGGUGAGGUUAAUAACCUCGCCGAUUGACGUUACCCGCAGAAGAAGCACCGGCUAACUCCGUGCCAGCAGCCGCCGUAA
Molecule: ribosomal RNA, 506 nt
Filed under: uncultured bacterium
Lineage: Bacteria
Description: partial 16S ribosomal RNA
Rfam family: Bacterial small subunit ribosomal RNA
Source: RNAcentral